This 486-nucleotide ribosomal RNA is filed under the name uncultured Leisingera sp. Its description in RNAcentral is "bacterial SSU rRNA". It matches the Rfam family "Bacterial small subunit ribosomal RNA", at positions 37 to 579 of the family's 1533-position model. The record is from RNAcentral. Lineage: Bacteria; Pseudomonadati; Pseudomonadota; Alphaproteobacteria; Rhodobacterales; Roseobacteraceae.
UGGCGGCGGCUAAUCAUGCGCUGAAGCGCCCUUCGGGUGAGUCCGGGCGGUAUAGUACGCGUGGGACGUGCCCUUCUCUACGGAAUAGCCUCUGGAAACGGAGAGUAAUACCGUAUACGCCCUUUGGGGGAAAGAUUUAUCGGAGAAGGAUCGGCCCGCGUUAGAUUAGGUAGUUGGUGGGGUAACGGCCUACCAAGCCUACGAUCUAUAGCUGGUUUUAGAGGAUGAUCAGCAACACUGGGACUGAGACACGGCCCAGACUCCUACGGGAGGCAGCAGUGGGGAAUACUAGACAAUGGGGGCAACCCUGAUCUAGCCAUGCCGCGUGAGUGAUGAAGGCCUUAGGGUCGUAAAGCUCUUUCGCCUGUGAUGAUAAUGACAGUAGCAGGUAAAGAAACCCCGGCUAACUCCGUGCCAGCAGCCGCGGUUAUACGGAGGGGGUUAGCGUAGUUCGGAAUUACUGGGCGUAAAGCGCGCGUUGGCGGA